GAUUAUGGCUCAGGAUGAACGCUAGCUACAGGCUUAACACAUGCAAGCCGAGGGGAAACGAUAGAGAAAGCUUGCUUUUUCUAGGCGUCGACCGGCGCACGGGUGAGUAACGCGUAUCCAACCUGCCCAUCACUUGGGGAUAACCUUGCGAAAGUAAGACUAAUACCCAAUGAUAUCUCAAGAAGACAUCUGAAAGAGAUUAAAGAUUUAUCGGUGAUGGAUGGGGAUGCGUCUGAUUAGCUUGUUGGCGGGGUAACGGCCCACCAAGGCGACGAUCAGUAGGGGUUCUGAGAGGAAGGUCCCCCACAUUGGAACUGAGACACGGUCCAAACUCCUACGGGAGGCAGCAGUGAGGAAUAUUGGUCAAUGGGCGAGAGCCUGAACCAGCCAAGUAGCGUGCAGGAUGACGGCCCUAUGGGUUGUAAACUGCUUUUAUAAGGGAAUAAAGUGAGCCUCGUGAGGCUUUUUGCAUGUACCUUAUGAAUAAGGACCGGCUAAUUCCGUGCCAGCAGCCGCGGUAAUACGGAAGGUCCGGGCGUUAUCCGGAUUUAUUGGGUUUAAAGGGAGCGUAGGCCGGAGAUUAAGCGUGUUGUGAAAUGUAGAUGCUCAACAUCUGCACUGCAGCGCGAACUGGUUUCCUUGAGUACGCACAAAGUGGGCGGAAUUCGUGGUGUAGCGGUGAAAUGCUUAGAUAUCACGAAGAACUCCGAUUGCGAAGGCAGCUCACUGGAGCGCAACUGACGCUGAAGCUCGAAAGUGCGGGUAUCGAACAGGAUUAGAUACCCUGGUAGUCCGCACGGUAAACGAUGGAUGCCCGCUGUUGGUCUGAAUAGGUCAGCGGCCAGGGGAAAGCAUUAAGCAUCCCACCUGGGGAGUACG
Molecule: ribosomal RNA, 879 nt
Filed under: uncultured bacterium
Lineage: Bacteria
Also listed under: 1 other name
Description: bacterial SSU rRNA
Rfam family: Bacterial small subunit ribosomal RNA
Source: RNAcentral